UAUUAUUAUGUACUUAUUGCACUAUUGCAGACAUAACGUUACCUACUCGCGGUUACUCGUUAGUCAUUUUUCUUUUUAAUUUAAGUUAUAUAGUUGAUCAGUGUUACAUACUAUAUUCCUUAGUUCUUAUAUAUUGCAUAGUACAUACAGUGAAGACAGACGUUUACGUGCUGCUAUUAAUUUUUUUCAUUGGGCAAUUCCAAAAAAGUACAUAAAAGCGGAAAUGCUAAAUAAAAAAAAAAAAAAAGGAGAAAGAUUUGCUUAGAAAGGAAGGUCAAAACCCUAAGCAAAAAAAAAUUAAAUUUUGUAAAAUCAAGUGAAAAUAAUUUUGAAAAAAUGUAACAGUAGUGUUAUUGAAAACGAAAGAGAAAAUCUGAAUAGUGAUAAUGAUGUCAAUACUUCAAAACAAGACAAUAAAAAAAAUCAAGUUAAUACAACUGAAGAUGUAGAAAAUGUUAUUACCUUGGAAAUAGUUGAAACCUGUUCAAAUAUUGAUAAUGAGGCUACUGAUAUGUUUAUAAAACUUAGAAGUAUUAAUGUUACAAGCUUUUGGUCAUUUUAUCUUUAUCAACUGGAAACAAACAUUCCAUUCAUACUUUCAAAAUUGUACAACUGUAAGGAUGGAGGUCAUCGUAAAUGGAUAUCUUAUUGAAUUAAGAAAAAAGUUUUAUUUUGCAAUAUAUGUCUUUGUUAUGGUGAUGGUUCAGGAUCAUUUUCCUAAGGAUUUUCUGUCUGAAGGAAACGAAAUAAAUGGAGCUGCAAAUAUGCUAGAAGUUAAUAAUGGAUUUUCCGCAAAAAUGAGCGAAGCAGCGGUUGAACAAGUACAUGUAUGGUGUUAUGCACAUGUAAUAAAUUUAGUUAUUAGUGAUAUUACAAGCAAAAUUGUCCAAUCUAUUUUUUUGUUUGAUAUUUUGCAAUGAUGUGAAGAAUUUAUACGUGGGUCAUAUAAACGUAUGAACAACCAAAAAUUCCAAAAAAAAAAAUGUACAAUCGGCAAAACAAGAUGGUGUUCCAAAGAUGCAGCAAUGACAAAGGUUUUUGAAAUUUUAAUGAACCCGAAAAUGGAUUGUACGCUGAUCUUAUAACUACAUUAGAUGAAACUGAAAAUAAUUUAGGUAUAAUUCCAGAUGCUCGAUUCGAAGCAAAAAAUUUAAAAGGUUUGUUAAAAUAUGCAAUUAUUUUAACUGCCCAGGUGUACUUGCGAAUUUUUAAAAAAACCACUCCUCUAUCAAUAUAUUCACAAGGGCAUGGAGUUAAUAUAAUUGCAGCUUAUCAAAUGGUGAAACAAACUUUGAAUGACUUGCAAGACUGUGCCCGACAGUUUCAAUGUAUGAAAAAAGCAGCUAAUACUUUUGUUGAAUAUAGUAAUAAAAAGUUUGAUAAAAUGGAGAGUAAUACUUUAGAAAUUCUAAAUGAGCUACCUCAUAGUAGAAUAAGAAAAAAAAAGGCAAUUUACUGACUAUGAAUCAAUAUAUGAUCCUAUUACAGAUCCAUUACGUGCAUUUGAAAUCAAUGUUUACAACCAAGUAUUUGAUAUUGUUAUUGAAAAUAUUUCAUCAAGAUUUGAAAAACAUGAACAACUAUGUGCCGAUUUUUCUUGCCUCGACUAAAACAAUUUUCAACCAAAUUUACCACUUCUAACAAAUGCUUUAAUAAAAGUAUUUGAAAAAAUCAGAAAUUUUAUUCCGGACAUAACUUAUGAUGAUCUUAGAAAUGAAUAUAUUGACUUUACAUCUAAAUGGAGAGUUUAAAAAAACCAUUGCUUGUGUACAUGAUGAACUAAAUAAUCAAGUUACUGAUGAUGUAUGUAUGUAUGUAAUGAUUCAGAAAAUGGUUAUCUAUAUUUAUUUUUACGACUCAAGAGUGAUGAUGAUAUUAUAGUAUAUGUGCAUAGUUCCAGUGCCAAGUGUUGUGUUACAUGCUGUUUUGAAGUGUUGGUGAAAUAUAAUUUAUAUGCAAAUACAUAUCGUGGCCUCUACUUUGCAUAUAAAUUUAUGCUUACUUUAUCCAUUACACAAGUGAAAUGUGAACGUACAUUUUCUAAAUUAAAAUUUGUAAAAAAUUAUUUAAGAAAUACAAUAAGUCAAAAUGUAUUAGAGAGUAUGUUGUUAAUGAAUGUAGAGAAAGAUAUUCUCAAAAAAA
Molecule: unclassified non-coding RNA, 2142 nt
Filed under: Sipha flava (yellow sugarcane aphid)
Lineage: Eukaryota; Metazoa; Arthropoda; Insecta; Hemiptera; Aphididae
Description: uncharacterized LOC112691400, transcript variant X2
Source: RNAcentral